This 472-nucleotide ribosomal RNA is filed under the name uncultured bacterium. Its description in RNAcentral is "bacterial SSU rRNA". It matches the Rfam family "Bacterial small subunit ribosomal RNA", at positions 328 to 793 of the family's 1533-position model. The record is from RNAcentral.
CUCUGUGACUCCUACGGGAGGCAGCAGUGGGAAUAUUGCACAAUGGGGGAAACCCUGAUGCAGCCAUGCCGCGUGUGUGAAGAAGGCCUUCGGGUUGUAAAGCACUUUCAGUAGGGAGGAAGGUAGUGUAGUUAACACCUGCACUAUUUGACGUUACCUACAGAAGAAGCACCGGCUAACUCCGUGCCAGCAGCCGCGGUAAUACGGAGGGUGCGAGCGUUAAUCGGAAUUACUGGGCGUAAAGCGCAUGCAGGCGGCCUGUUAAGUCAGAUGUGAAAGCCCGGGGCUUAACCUCGGAAUUGCAUUUGAAACUGGCAGGCUAGAGUCUUGUAGAGGGGGUAGAAUUUCAGGUGUAGCGGUGAAAAUGCGUAGAGAUCUGAAGGAAUACCAGUGGCGAAGGCGGCCCCCUGGACAAAGACUGACGCUCAGAUGCGAAAGCGUGGGGAGCAAACAGGAUUAGAUACCCUGGUAG